CCUACGGGAGGCAGCAGUGGGGAAUAUUGGACAAUGGGCGCAAGCCUGAUCCAGCAAUGCCGCGUGUGUGAAGAAGGCCUGCGGGUUGUAAAGCACUUUAAGCAGGAAAGUAGGUUUCAAGGCUAAUAUCCUUGAAAAUUGACGUUACCUGCAGAAUAAGCACCGGCUAACUCCGUGCCAGCAGCCGCGGUAAU
Molecule: ribosomal RNA, 194 nt
Filed under: uncultured Gammaproteobacteria bacterium
Lineage: Bacteria; Pseudomonadati; Pseudomonadota; Gammaproteobacteria
Description: partial 16S ribosomal RNA
Rfam family: Bacterial small subunit ribosomal RNA
Source: RNAcentral